UCCACUGUCUGUUUCCUAAAGACCACACACACACACACACAAGACCAGACACACACGAUCCAGGGGAAGCCCUUCUUGAGUACUGUUGUCUAUAAAUAGGCCAACCAACUGUCAGUGGAAGCACUACAUGCUGACUCAAUUUCCCUACAGGAUCUCUUUCAGGCACCUCCAAUAGACGUUGAUAUGGCAAGCAAAAAGAACAAGUUUGCUAGUGCUGUGAUAAGAUAGUGUAAAAUAAUGAGUUUGAAAUAUUUAUAUGCACUGCAUGUUUCUUUGGUAACUAGCCAGUCACGCUUACAAAAAUGUAUUUGUUGCGGCAAUCUUCCUGCAAACUAAAUAGUUUGCAAAUGUUUGACACUGGUGGAUAAUCUGCAGCAAACCUUUGGCAACAAUAAUAUUUAUUGCAACUAGUGGCAAAUAGUUUACCAGAAGCCAUUUCUGGUGAACACAUGAGUUCCAAGACCAGUAACCGUUGACGACCAGUCAGCAGGGGGAGAAGAAGAAUCCGUUGGAAAAUGGAAACCAAACUAUCUAGCUGGCUUCCUACCGAAGUUGUCCGGCCCCACCUAACCUGAAGUCAGUGCUGCUGGCUGUAGCCUUUGGCAACGUCAUUGUGCUGAUCGUAACCAAGGGGGCGGGUCUGAAUCAGUAGGUCGUUUGGGGGGAUGCAGACGGCUCUGAUCUCCUUGGAGCUAGAAAGGUCAGUCCCGGAGCUGGACAGGUCAUCCUCCAUGGAGCUAGACAUCACCUUCUCCCUCCCCAAACUAAUUGCUAAACACGCCCCCAGAACUAAAGUUAAUUAAAGGAACUGGAACUUACCUUCAGCGGGAUUUGGACUGGGGACAUCUCAACCAACGGACGUCUACCUCGUUACUGCUGUGCGGUGCUUCUCUACGCUGUUCGCCUGUUGACACGGGGACAUGCCCGACGCAACUGCGAGAGGCUUCACCCAACACUGAAACCCAGCAGGCCCGGCACAACGCGAGACCACCAAGCAACCAGCCACAGACAACCGUGCCAGGCUACCAAGAGCUCAACUCAUACAACGCUCUCUAUAGCACUAUUUUUCUCCAGCAUGUGAGUGCAACUCCAAUUGUUGGCCAGUACAUGCUCUAAUUGUAAGUUUUGUGUGCCCCGAGGCUACAGACACAGGGGACACAUUCGACGAGGCUACAGACACCGGGGACUCAUCCGACGAGGCUACAGACACCGGGGACUCAUCCGACGAGGCUACAGACACCGGGGACUCAUCCGACGAGGCUGAGAGGCCUCGUAUUCAUGGAUGCCAAGGGAAGACAGGAUUUUUUUAAAAUAUAACUUUAGUAUCAAUAUUUCAUCAUUUUCUUUCAAGUCAUAAUUUUUAUUUUACCUUUAUUUAACUAGGCAAGUCAGUUAAGAACAAAUUCCUAUUUUCAAUGACGGCCUAGGAACAGUGGGUUAACUGCCUGUUCAGGGGCAGAACGACAUAUUUGUACCAUGUCAGCUCGGGGGGUCGAACGUUCUAACCACUAGGCUACCCUGCCGCCCCAAGAGGCUGAAUGUAUCUCACCAGAGAAAGUACCUGAGCGAGCACCCACCGUCCCUAUGUGUUGACCAUCUAUCUGAUUCUCUCUGGUCAAAAAUGGUAUGAUUAUUGUUGACGCCUGUAGCAUUGAAUGCAAGGGAAGCCAGCAAGGAUUUGGCCUCCCUUGAUUAAAACAUUAUAUAAUAAUAGCCAAUCAGCUUCGAAUUAAACUGAGUGAGCUCAACUGUGAAUGGUCCUGGCGAACCAAAACAAAGUGUCAAGGGAGGCCAGUUUGGAUUUGGCUUCACACCCAUCACAUCAAGGUGAAUGUCUUUGACAGAAAAAAAAAAAAUUACUACAUUACUAUGAAAACCAAACACUGGAUUUACAGAGGUUUAAAUGGAAACGUAAAAUCAAAUUAACUGAGCCAUCUUUUGACCAAUCCCUAAACUUUUCUCAAACUAAGUUAAGACAUGUACCAUGGAUAUACAUUCCAUAUUUGGUUCUAUGGUUCAUGAGAAGAUUUUUGAAGUAUUUUUAGCAUUUAGUGUGGCUAUAUUUGAAUGCAUAAAUGUUGUUUUCUCAAACUCUUUAGGGACUAUUGUGAUUAGUCCAAGGACCACAUUUGGAGUGAAUUUGACUUUUAGUCCAUGAGAAUAACAUUUUGUAUGAUUUGAUUUUAAUUACUAGCAUUACAUAGUCAAAAGUGAAUUGUUAAUGGUUUUCUUAAUUGCUUAAGAUAUCAAUGUUCAUCAUAGUAAUGGUUUUGUUUCCAUUAUGGCCAUUGUGGAGUGGAUUUACAAAGGAUCUAAAUGGACAAGUAAAAUCUGAUGUAUCAAUUACUCAGCCGUCUCUUAACCAAUCCCUUAGCUUUUCUCAAACUAAGUUAAUGGUUUGGGUGUUAUUUGGACUUAUGGUUCAUGAGAGGUUUUUCAAAUGUUUUCAGAAAUUUCCAAGAUAGAGGGAAAUCUAUCCUGACAAACCUUGUGGGUCCCUGAGGCAAAUGUUUUCAGCACGAGGAAAGAAAUAUUAAUACAAAGUUUCAAGUCUCUUGGUCAAAUGGAGAGAAGAAUAUGAGGGUUUACGUGAGGCUGCUUAUAACAGAGCCACCUAUAGGCCAAUCAGUGCCAUUAUUAUUGACCAAGCUACUCAUGGCCUCUAGUUUUUGUGUGCCAAAUUAGAAUAAACAGUUAGCAAU
Oncorhynchus mykiss (rainbow trout) is the source of this 2702-nucleotide non-coding RNA. NCBI's taxonomy places the organism in Eukaryota, Metazoa, Chordata, Actinopteri, Salmoniformes, Salmonidae. The record is from RefSeq and is a predicted model, not a curated record.